UACGAAGGGUGCAAGCGUUACUCGGAAUUACUGGGCGUAAAGCGUGCGUAGGCGGUUUGUUAAGUCUGAUGUGAAAGCCCUGGGCUCAACCUGGGAAUUGCAUUGGAUACUGGCAGGCUAGAGUACGGUAGAGGGGGAUGGAAUUCCGCGUGUAGCAGUGAAAUGCGUAGAGAUGCGGAGGAACACCGAUGGCGAAGGCAGCCCCCUGGGCCAACACUGACGCUCAGGCACGAAAGCGUGGGGAGCAAACAGG
This 253-nucleotide ribosomal RNA is filed under the name uncultured bacterium. Its description in RNAcentral is "partial 16S ribosomal RNA". It matches the Rfam family "Bacterial small subunit ribosomal RNA", at positions 524 to 776 of the family's 1533-position model. The record is from RNAcentral.